This 1464-nucleotide long non-coding RNA is filed under the name Sus scrofa (pig). Its description in RNAcentral is "lncRNA (ENSSSCG00060004306.1)". Lineage: Eukaryota; Metazoa; Chordata; Mammalia; Artiodactyla; Suidae. The record is from RNAcentral.
AUAGUAAAAUUCCUUGGAAACCUGCAAUUUCAGAGUCAUUUUCCUUAAGCAAAAGAGGCUCUUCUGCCUCACAGAGACAUCGCUGCAGCUCAAAUUCGAGGAGUCUCUGGUGGAGGAACCAGGGUUUGGGGAGGAUGAGGUGGGAGAGGUUCCCUGAGAUCCUCUCAAGGGAGUGACCAGAGGCAGGGGGCUGCUGGGCAUGGCCAGAGGUACCCACUGGUGGCCAGGGUCUCCCUCUUUGAGCUGGGCCUCCAGCCUAGAAUAGUCAAUGACCCAGCAGACCUUUCCACCAGAAUGGCCCCUACCACUCAAAUCUAAUGUCUUGAACAGAGUCGGUUGCUUUCCUCACAGAAUCUGUUCUGUUACUGUUUCAAUCUCUCUUUAGUGUCUGUAGUGUGGCAGACACAAUUUCUUGGGUUGGGGUCCAGUGGGCAACAAAGAUGCACUACCUAGCUCGUGAAACCUCCUCUCUAGCAGGGAAAGCUGAUCUGAAAUGUCGACCUUGUCCUGAGUGUCAUAAAUAACAUUAAGAAGAGUCAUGAUCACUGAGUCCUUACUGUCUACCAGUCGCCAUUGACCUCACCAUCAGACCUGGGACAGGGAGCCCAGACUUAGUCUGGAGGGUCAAGAACGGCUCUGAGUCCUCUUCCUCAGCCCUGUGAGGUUGUCCGUGUUGGCCCCAGAUGCACUUUGGAAACUGAGCUCUCUGCCUCUUCUGUCCACACGGUCGUCUCUAAUGUCACCAAGGCAUGGCGCCGCCUCUGCCACCUGCCCCUCCUCUCCAUUCUUCCUGGCCUCUCUGGUUCAGCAGUCUGUCUCCCACACCUGCAAUAUCACAACAGCCCUGGCCUCUCUGCCUCCAGCCUCCCUCCUGUCCUAACUGGUCUGCACAUCUCCUCCAGACGAACUUUCCAGAAAGGCUGCUUCCUGCUCAACGACUCAGUCACUUAUUCAACAAAGAUUCAUCAAAGGGUCUACCUCACCCAAAAACCUCAGGUUGUAUAUAUUUCAGAAGAGAAGGUGAUGCCACCUGCAUCCCUUGACUAAAGACAGCCCAACCUCCUUUGUCUGACACCCCUUCCCUCCGCCCAGAGGCCAGCCUUCCAGAUUCAUCUCCACAGUGGCCUAUGCACCAUCUCCCCCAAGCACAACAUUUGCCUUCUUGGGGCCCCUGCUCCUCUCCCAUUUCUACUUAUCAUUCAGUGAUAAGGCCCUCAUCAAAUAUGACCUUUCAGAGUUCCUGUUGUGGCUCAGCAGUAGUGAACCUGACUAGUGUCCAUGAGGACAAGGGUUCGAUCCCUGACCCUGUUCAGUGGGUUAAGGAGCCAGCAUUGCUGUGGGCUGUGGUGUAGGUCACAGAUGUGGCUCGGCUCCCGAUUCGCUGUGGCUACAGUGUAGGCCAGUGUCUGCAACUCUGAUUGGACCCCUAGCCUGGAAACUUCCUUGUGCCACAGGUGUGGCCCU